GACUGUGAAGUAGGUCUGGAGGAUCUGCAACUAGACAUUCCUUGGAAGAUGUUAGUGAGUUAAGGUAGUAGAGUCCUUCUGAUUCAAGUCAUGUUCCAAUCGUCUGUUCCGUACUGUGGUCCUGCAUAAUAAAAGAAUCAAUAAUAAAAUAUAUACCGCAAUGGAGGGCACGAGUCAAACGACUAACAGAUGCAAGAUUAAAAG
RNAcentral lists this long non-coding RNA (204 nucleotides) under Nicotiana benthamiana. RNAcentral's name for it is "long non-coding RNA (NBEN_LNC000831)". The record is from RNAcentral. Lineage: Eukaryota; Viridiplantae; Streptophyta; Magnoliopsida; Solanales; Solanaceae.